GGGUAGCGGAGAAAUUCCAAUCGAACCUGGAGAUAGCUGGUUCUCUCCGAAAUAGCUUUAGGGCUAGCCUCAAGUGAUGAUUAUUGGAGGUAGAGCACUGUUUGGACGAGGGGCCCCUCUCGGGUUACCGAAUUCAGACAAACUCCGAAUGCCAAUUAAUUUAACUUGGGAGUCAGAACAUGGGUGAUAAGGUCCGUGUUCGAAAGGGAAACAGCCCAGACCACCAGCUAAGGUCCCAAAAUAUAUGUUAAGUGGAAAAGGAUGUGGCGUUGCCCAGACAACUAGGAUGUUGGCUUAGAAGCAGCCAUCAUUUAAAGAGUGCGUAAUAGCUCACUAGUCGAGUGACACUGCGCCGAAAAUGUACCGGGGCUAAACAUAUUACCGAAGCUGUGGAUUGUCCUUUGGACAAUGGUAGGAGAGCGUUCUAAGGGCGUUGAAGCAUGAUCGUAAGGACAUGUGGAGCGCUUAGAAGUGAGAAUGCCGGUGUGAGUAGCGAAAGACGGGUGAGAAUCCCGUCCACCGAUUGACUAAGGUUUCCAGAGGAAGGCUCGUCCGCUCUGGGUUAGUCGGGUCCUAAGCUGAGGCCGACAGGCGUAGGCGAUGGAUAACAGGUUGAUAUUCCUGUACCACCUAUAAUCGUUUUAAUCGAUGGGGGGACGCAGUAGGAUAGGCGAAGCGUGCGAUUGGAUUGCACGUCUAAGCAGUAAGGCUGAGUAUUAGGCAAAUCCGGUACUCAUUAAGGCUGAGCUGUGAUGGGGAGAAGACAUUGUGUCUUCGAGUCGUUGAUUUCACACUGCCGAGAAAAGCCUCUAGAUAGAAAAUAGGUGCCCGUACCGCAAACCGACACAGGUAGUCAAGAUGAGAAUUCUAAGGUGAGCGAGCGAACUCUCGUUAAGGAACUCGGCAAAAUGACCCCGUAACUUCGGGAGAAGGGGUGCUCUUUAGGGUUAACGCCCAGAAGAGCCGCAGUGAAUAGGCCCAAGCGACUGUUUAUCAAAAACACAGGUCUCUGCUAAACCGUAAGGUGAUGUAUAGGGGCUGACGCCUGCCCGGUGCUGGAAGGUUAAGAGGAGUGGUUAGCUUCUGCGAAGCUACGAAUCGAAGCCCCAGUAAACGGCGGCCGUAACUAUAACGGUCCUAAGGUAGCGAAAUUCCUUGUCGGGUAAGUUCCGACCCGCACGAAAGGCGUAACGAUUUGGGCACUGUCUCAACGAGAGACUCGGUGAAAUCAUAGUACCUGUGAAGAUGCAGGUUACCCGCGACAGGACGGAAAGACCCCGUGGAGCUUUACUGUAGCCUGAUAUUGAAAUUCGGCACAGCUUGUACAGGAUAGGUAGGAGCCUUUGAAACGUGAGCGCUAGCUUACGUGGAGGCGCUGGUGGGAUACUACCCUAGCUGUGUUGGCUUUCUAACCCGCACCACUUAUCGUGGUGGGAGACAGUGUCAGGCGGGCAGUUUGACUGGGGCGGUCGCCUCCUAAAAGGUAACGGAGGCGCUCAAAGGUUCCCUCAGAAUGGUUGGAAAUCAUUCAUAGAGUGUAAAGGCAUAAGGGAGCUUGACUGCGAGACCUACAAGUCGAGCAGGGUCGAAAGACGGACUUAGUGAUCCGGUGGUUCCGCAUGGAAGGGCCAUCGCUCAACGGAUAAAAGCUACCCCGGGGAUAACAGGCUUAUCUCCCCCAAGAGUUCACAUCGACGGGGAGGUUUGGCACCUCGAUGUCGGCUCAUCGCAUCCUGGGGCUGUAGUCGGUCCCAAGGGUUGGGCUGUUCGCCCAUUAAAGCGGUACGCGAGCUGGGUUCAGAACGUCGUGAGACAGUUCGGUCCCUAUCCGUCGUGGGCGUAGGAAAUUUGAGAGGAGCUGUCCUUAGUACGAGAGGACCGGGAUGGACAUACCUCUGGUGUACCAGUUGUCGUGCCAACGGCAUAGCUGGGUAGCUAUGUGUGGACGGGAUAAGUGCUGAAAGCAUCUAAGCAUGAAGCCCCCCUCAAGAUGAGAUUUCCCAACUUCGGUUAUAAGAUCCCUCAAAGAUGAUGAGGUUAAUAGGUUCGAGGUGGAAGCAUGGUGACAUGUGGAGCU
Molecule: ribosomal RNA, 2077 nt
Filed under: Staphylococcus sp. HMSC058E01
Lineage: Bacteria; Bacillati; Bacillota; Bacilli; Caryophanales; Staphylococcaceae
Description: bacterial LSU rRNA
Rfam family: Bacterial large subunit ribosomal RNA
Source: RNAcentral